RNAcentral lists this ribosomal RNA (463 nucleotides) under uncultured bacterium. RNAcentral's name for it is "partial 16S ribosomal RNA". It matches the Rfam family "Bacterial small subunit ribosomal RNA", at positions 28 to 507 of the family's 1533-position model. The record is from RNAcentral.
GACGAACGCUGGCGGCGUGCCUAACACAUGCGAGUCGAGCGAAUGAAGUUCCUUCGGGAAUGGAUUUAGCGGCGGACGGGUGAGUAACACGUGGGCAACCUGCCUCAUAGAGGGGAAUAGCCUCCCGAAAGGGAGAUUAAUACCGCAUAAGAUUGUAGUACCGCAUGAUACAGCAAUUAAAGGAGCAAUCCGCUAUGAGAUGGGCCCGCGGCGCAUUAGCUAGUUGGUGAGGUAAUGGCUCACCAAGGCGACGAUGCGUAGCCGACCUGAGAGGGUGAUCGGCCACAUUGGGACUGGGACACGUCCCAGACUCCUGCGGGAGGCAGCAGUGGGGACUAUUGCACAAUGGGGGAAACCCUGAUGCAGCAACGCCGCGUGAGUGAUGUCGGCCUUCGGGUUGUAAAGCUCUGUCUGCAGGGACGAAAUGACGGUACCUGAGGAGGAAGCCACGGCUAACUACGUG